Molecule: ribosomal RNA, 460 nt
Filed under: uncultured bacterium
Lineage: Bacteria
Description: partial 16S ribosomal RNA
Rfam family: Bacterial small subunit ribosomal RNA
Source: RNAcentral
CCUACGGGGGGCAGUAGUGAGGAAUAUUGGUCAAUGGCCGUAAGGCUGAACCAGCCAAGUCGCGUGAAGGUAGAAGGAUCUAUGGUUUGUAAACUUCUUUUUUAGGGGAAUAAAGGUAUCCACGUGUGGAUAUUUGCAUGUACCCUAUGAAUAAGCAUCGGCUAACUCCGUGCAAGCAGCCGCGGUAAUAGGGAGGUUGCGGGCGUUAUCCGGAUUUAUUGGGUUUAAGGGGUGCGUAGGUUGGUUUUUAAGUCAGCGGUGAAAGUUUGUGGCUCAACCAUAAAAUUGCCGGUGAUACUGGAAGGCUUGAGUGUGUUUGAGGUAGGCGGAAUGCGUGGUGUAGCGGUGAAAUGCAUAGAUAUCACGCAGAACUCCGAUUGCGAAGGCAGCUUACUAAGCCAUAACUGACACUGAAGCACGAAAGCGUGGGGAUCAAACAGGAUUAGAUACCCGGGUAGUC